Molecule: ribosomal RNA, 460 nt
Filed under: uncultured Treponema sp.
Lineage: Bacteria; Pseudomonadati; Spirochaetota; Spirochaetia; Treponematales; Treponemataceae
Description: bacterial SSU rRNA
Rfam family: Bacterial small subunit ribosomal RNA
Source: RNAcentral
ACGGGAGGCAGCAGCUAAGGAUAUUCCGCAAUGGACGAAAGUCUGACGGAGCGACGCCGCGUGGAUGAUGAAGGUCGGAAGAUUGUAAAAUCCUUUUAUGACUGAGGAAUAAGUGAAGUGAGAGAAACGCUUCAUGGUGACUGUAGGUCAUGAAUAAGCAACGGCUAAUUACGUGCCAGCAGCCGCGGUAACACGUAAGUUGCGAGCGUUGUUCGGAAUUAUUGGGCGUAAAGGGCAUGUAGGCGGUUUUGCAAGCUUGGUGUGAAAUCCCGGAGCUCAACUCCGGAAUUGCGUUGAGAACUGCAUAACUAGAGUCACUGAGGGGCAAUCAGAAUUCCAGGUGUAGGGGUGAAAUCUGUAGAUAUCUGGAAGAACACCGAUGGCGAAGGCAGGUUUCUAGCAGAUGAUUGACGCUGAGGUGCGAAGGUGCGGGGAGCAAACAGGAUUAGAUACCCUGGUA